GUGUUCGCAUCAGCAGCACAGACACUAAAAUUGGAGCAAUACAGACAUUAGCAUGGCCCCUGUACAAGAAUGACAGGCAAUCCCAUGAAGCGUCCCAUAUUUUU
Mustela putorius furo (domestic ferret) is the source of this 104-nucleotide small nuclear RNA. The record is from Ensembl. NCBI's taxonomy places the organism in Eukaryota, Metazoa, Chordata, Mammalia, Carnivora, Mustelidae.